UGGUCAAGAGCUAUUUAUGAGUUAGUUAUGUAAAGUCAUGCCUUAAAUUUUUAACUCUUAAAAAUAUGAAUUUAUAUUCCUACUAACUCAAAGGAUGUAUCACAAACACAAUGUACACAAUGUGAUAGAAGAAUAACCAUUUUAUUCAUUUAUAGUCAAAAUUACAAAUUUACCUUUAGAUCUGUAUAGGAAUGUGUCAGCCGAUCUGGCAUCUAGGGCAGACAUCUAACACAAAGAUUGAUGAGCAAUAGGGGCAUCAAUCAAGACACCUAGGCUUGAUUCGAGGAACAGUUGAGCUUUGGUAAGAAUCUUUAGCACAGUGAUUGUACGACUGGUAGUCACCUAAGCUUGGUCUGAGAAGUAUAGGGAUUGUAUAACUGAUGGAUUGCAUAAUUGAUGGAGACUCGGAUGUACCCUUGGGUGUAGGACUGCUUCAGGGUAUGCCAUAGUCGAUGAAGGCAAGGGGCCACUACGUAGGAACCAGAUCUAGGGUUUCAGGAUUAGAUCUUGAAACUUUUUCAAGAUCAUACAGUGGAAGACUAAAAUAAAUCAAAAUUAUUUUUUAAAAUCAAAGAAUCCCUAGAUCUAAGAUCCUAUUAUAUGAUUAUUAUAUAGCAUUAAAUCAAAAAUUAAAAUAUAUAAAUAUAGCAUGAACUACAUGUUGAUCAUAUCAACAUGUUUCUAUACUACAUCUAAUGUAUGUAUUAAACAAUAGAUCAGAUUUAUUACCUUGUAAGUUAGACGUUCUAACCUCGCUGAUCUGGGUUUGAGGAUGAUGUUACAAGCCGCAUACGCGUCCGGCCUCUAGGAGUCGUCCACACGAGCCCACGAAUCUCGAUCAGAAGUCUUGCUUCAGGAAAUCAGCACAGUAUGCUAGUACUGCGCUGAUCCUUCUUUGAUGGUUGAUCAGGUGCCUCCUUCUUCUUGAUUUGGACUCUUCCAAAGAUGAAAAGUAGAAGGAAGAGUUUCAGAUCUGAGACGCUCUCAGGAAACUCAAGAUGGAGGGAGGAAAGAUAUGAAAACAAACAACCCUAGAAGAAGACCCUCUUCUUCUUCUCGUUUCUCUCUCUAGACACCC
This 1078-nucleotide long non-coding RNA is filed under the name Elaeis guineensis (African oil palm). RNAcentral's name for it is "long non-coding RNA (EGUI_LNC079091)". The record is from RNAcentral. Lineage: Eukaryota; Viridiplantae; Streptophyta; Magnoliopsida; Arecales; Arecaceae.